AUCGCUUGUGUAGCAAUACAUGAGCGGUUCUAGUGGCGCACGGGUGAGUAACACGUGGGCAACCUGCCCUAGAGUCCGGGAUACCCUCUCGAAAGGGAGGCUAAUACUGGAUACGUUCCUUGGGUCGCAAGAUCUGGGGAGGAAAGGUGGCGAAAGCUACCGCUUUUGGAGGGGCUCGCGGCCUAUCAGCUAGUUGGUGAGGUAAUGGCUCACCAAGGCUAUGACGGGUAGCUGGUCUGAGAGGACGACCAGCCACACGGGAACUGAGACACGGUCCCGACUCCUACGGGAGGCAGCAGUGGGGAAUUUUCCGCAAUGGGCGAAAGCCUGACGGAGUGACGCCGCGUGGGGGACGAAGGCCUUCGGGUCGUAAACCCCUGUCAGAGGGAAAGAAGGGUCGCCGACCUAACACGUCGGUGAUCUGACGGUACCUUCAGAGGAAGCCCCGGCCAACUCUGUGCCAGCAGCCGCGGUAAGACAGAGGGGGCAAGCGUUGCUCGGAAUCACUGGGCGUAAAGGGCGCGUAGGCGGGAUGGCAAGUCAGUCGUGAAAUCUCUCGGCUCAACCGAGAAACGUCGGCUGAUACUGCCGUUCUUGAGGGAUGCAGAGGAGACUGGAAUUCCCGGUGUAGCGGUGAAAUGUGUAGAGAUCGGGAGGAACACCGGUGGCGAAGGCGGGUCUCUGGGCAUUUCCUGACGCUGAGGCGCGAAAGCGUGGGGAGCAAACGGGAUUAGAUACCCCGGUAGUCCACGCUGUAAACGAUGACGACUA
RNAcentral lists this ribosomal RNA (771 nucleotides) under uncultured Bacillota bacterium. Its description in RNAcentral is "bacterial SSU rRNA". It matches the Rfam family "Bacterial small subunit ribosomal RNA", at positions 70 to 818 of the family's 1533-position model. Lineage: Bacteria; Bacillati; Bacillota. The record is from RNAcentral.